AGAGUUUGAUCCUGGCUCAGAACGAACGCUGGCGGCAGGCUUAACACAUGCAAGUCGAACGCAUCCUUCGGGGUGAGUGGCAGACGGGUGAGUAACGCGUGGGAACGUGCCCUUCAGUUCGGAAUAACCCAGGGAAACUUGGGCUAAUACCGGAUACGUGCGAGAGCAGAAAGAUUUAUCGCUGAAGGAUCGGCCCGCGUCUGAUUAGCUAGUUGGUGAGGUAAUGGCUCACCAAGGCGACGAUCAGUAGCUGGUCUGAGAGGAUGAUCAGCCACAUUGGGACUGAGACACGGCCCAAACUCCUACGGGAGGCAGCAGUGGGGAAUAUUGGACAAUGGGCGCAAGCCUGAUCCAGCCAUGCCGCGUGAGUGAUGAAGGCCUUAGGGUUGUAAAGCUCUUUCGUCCGGGACGAUAAUGACGGUACCGGAAGAAGAAGCCCCGGCUAACUUCGUGCCAGCAGCCGCGGUAAUACGAAGGGGGCUAGCGUUGUUCGGAAUCACUGGGCGUAAAGGGCGCGUAGGCGGCUUGAUAAGUCGGGGGUGAAAGCCUGUGGCUCAACCACAGAAUUGCCUUCGAUACUGUCUGGCUUGAGACCGGAAGAGGUAAGUGGAACUGCGAGUGUAGAGGUGAAAUUCGUAGAUAUUCGCAAGAACACCAGUGGCGAAGGCGGCUUACUGGUCCGGUUCUGACGCUGAGGCGCGAAAGCGUGGGGAGCAAACAGGAUUAGAUACCCUUGUAGUCC
This 742-nucleotide ribosomal RNA is filed under the name uncultured bacterium. RNAcentral describes it as "bacterial SSU rRNA". It matches the Rfam family "Bacterial small subunit ribosomal RNA", at positions 8 to 796 of the family's 1533-position model. The record is from RNAcentral.